GACGGAGGGGGCUAGCGUUGUUCGGAAUGACUGGGCGUAAAGGGCGCGUAGGCGGUUUUUUAAGUGAGGCGUGAAAGCCCUGGGCUUAACCCAGGAGGUGCGUUUCAUACUGGAAGACUUGAGUACGAGAGAGGAAAGCGGAAUUCCUAGUGUAGAGGUGAAAUUCGUAGAUAUUAGGAAGAACACCAGUGGCGAAGGCGGCUUUCUGGCUCGUAACUGACGCUGAGGCGCGAAAGCGUGGGGAGCAAACAGG
This 253-nucleotide ribosomal RNA is filed under the name uncultured bacterium. Its description in RNAcentral is "partial 16S ribosomal RNA". It matches the Rfam family "Bacterial small subunit ribosomal RNA", at positions 524 to 776 of the family's 1533-position model. RNAcentral also lists the same sequence under 1 other name. The record is from RNAcentral.